UGCAGUCGAGCGCGGGAAGCAAGCAGAUCUCCUUCGGGAGUGACGCUUGUGGAACGAGCGGCGGACGGGUGAGUAACACGUGGGCAACCUACCUGUAAGACUGGGAUAACUCCGGGAAACCGGGGCUAAUACCGGAUGAAACAAAGCGUCGCAUGACGCAAUGUUAAAAGGCGGCAUAUGCUGUCACUUACAGAUGGGCCCGCGGCGCAUUAGCUAGUUGGUGAGGUAAAGGCUCACCAAGGCAACGAUGCGUAGCCGACCUGAGAGGGUGAUCGGCCACACUGGGACUGAGACACGGCCCAGACUCCUACGGGAGGCAGCAGUAGGGAAUCUUCCGCAAUGGACGAAAGUCUGACGGAGCAACGCCGCGUGAGUGAUGAAGGUUUUCGGAUCGUAAAACUCUGUUGUUAGGGAAGAACAAGUGCCAUUCGAAUAGGUUGGCACCUUGACGGUACCUAACCAGAAAGCCCCGGCUAACUACGUGCCAGCAGCCGCGGUAAUACGUAGGGGGCAAGCGUUGUCCGGAAUUAUUGGGCGUAAAGCGCGCGCAGGCGGUCCUUUAAGUCUGAUGUGAAAGCCCACGGCUUAACCGUGGAGGGCCAUUGGAAACUGGAGGACUUGAGUACAGAAGAGGAGAGUGGAAUUCCACGUGUAGCGGUGAAAUGCGUAGAGAUGUGGAGGAACACCAGUGGCGAAGGCGACUCUCUGGUCUGUAACU
Molecule: ribosomal RNA, 718 nt
Filed under: Virgibacillus dokdonensis
Lineage: Bacteria; Bacillati; Bacillota; Bacilli; Caryophanales; Bacillaceae
Description: bacterial SSU rRNA
Rfam family: Bacterial small subunit ribosomal RNA
Source: RNAcentral